This 72-nucleotide transfer RNA is filed under the name Loxodonta africana (African savanna elephant). It matches the Rfam family "tRNA". From Rfam's summary of the family: Transfer RNA (tRNA) molecules are approximately 80 nucleotides in length. Their secondary structure includes four short double-helical elements and three loops (D, anti-codon, and T loops). Lineage: Eukaryota; Metazoa; Chordata; Mammalia; Proboscidea; Elephantidae. The record is from Rfam by way of RNAcentral.
GCAGGUGUAGCUCAGUGGCAGAGCGUGUGCUUAGUAUGCAAGAAGCCCUGGGUCCAGUCCCCAGCACCUCCA